RNAcentral lists this ribosomal RNA (228 nucleotides) under uncultured archaeon. RNAcentral describes it as "partial 16S ribosomal RNA". It matches the Rfam family "Archaeal small subunit ribosomal RNA", at positions 23 to 246 of the family's 1478-position model. The record is from RNAcentral.
GCCACUGCUAUUGGGGUUCGGCUAAGCCAUGCGAGUGGAGGGCGUCCCGCAAGGGAUGGCCCCGCAGACGGCUCAGUAACAUGUCGUCAACCCACCUUAGGGUGGGGGACAACCUCGGGAAACUGAGGGUAAUCCCCCAUAGGCGGGGGAGGCUGGAAUGCGCCCCCGCUGAAAGCUCAGGCGCCCUAGGACGGGACGGCGGCCUAUCAGGUAGUUGGUGGUGUGACG